AAAACCUCUUUUAUGGAACAAAACCUAGGGAUUGUUGAUGAACUUACAAUUGCAGGUCACUAAGCUUUGAGAGCAGGAACUUGGUUGCUCCCUC
Molecule: long non-coding RNA, 94 nt
Organism: Ipomoea nil (Japanese morning glory)
Lineage: Eukaryota; Viridiplantae; Streptophyta; Magnoliopsida; Solanales; Convolvulaceae
Exons: 3
Source: RefSeq, a predicted model, not a curated record